GCCAAGGCAGGUGGAUCACUUGAGGUCAGGAGUUCGAGACCAGCCUGGCCAACAUGGUGAGACCCCGUCUCUACUAAAAAUAUAAAACUUAGGCGGGCAUGGUAGCACACACCUGUAAUCCCAGCUACCUGGGAGGCUGAGUCGGGAGAAUCGCUUGAACCUGGGAGGCGAAGGUUGCAGCGAGCCGAGAUAGUGCAACUGCACUCCUGCCUCUCCCGCCUGGGUGAUAGAGUGAGACUCCAUGUGGGGGGAAAAAAAAAAAAAAAAAAAAAAAAAAAAAAAAAAAAAAAAAAAAGAUGGGGUCU
This 305-nucleotide long non-coding RNA is filed under the name Homo sapiens (human). Its description in RNAcentral is "HSALNT0345552". The record is from RNAcentral. Lineage: Eukaryota; Metazoa; Chordata; Mammalia; Primates; Hominidae.